GAUGAACGCUGACAGAAUGCUUAACACAUGCAAGUCAACUUGAAUUUGGGUUUUUAACUUAGGUUUGGGUGGCGGACGGGUGAGUAACGCGUAAAGAACUUGCCUCACAGCUAGGGACAACAUUUGGAAACGAAUGCUAAUACCUAAUAUUAUGAUAAUAGGGCAUCCUAUAAUUAUGAAAGCUAUAAGCGCUGUGAGAGAGCUUUGCGUCCCAUUAGCUAGUUGGAGAGGUAACGGCUCACCAAGGCGAUGAUGGGUAGCCGGCCUGAGAGGGUGAUCGGCCACAAGGGAAUGGAGACACGGCCCGAACUCAUAGGGGGGGCAGAAGUGGGGAAUAUUAGAAAAGGGACAGAGGGUCUGAACCAGAAAUUCUGUGGGCAGGAGAAAGUUUUUGGGAAUGAAAAGUGCUUUCAGUUGGAAAGAAAAAAAUGCCGGUACCAAAAGAAGAAGUGACGCCAAAAUACGUG
RNAcentral lists this ribosomal RNA (467 nucleotides) under uncultured bacterium. RNAcentral describes it as "partial 16S ribosomal RNA". It matches the Rfam family "Bacterial small subunit ribosomal RNA", at positions 28 to 507 of the family's 1533-position model. The record is from RNAcentral.